This is a long non-coding RNA of Pyrgilauda ruficollis (rufous-necked snowfinch), 1549 nucleotides long. RefSeq lists it as uncharacterized. The record is from RefSeq and is a predicted model, not a curated record. Lineage: Eukaryota; Metazoa; Chordata; Aves; Passeriformes; Passeridae. The transcript is spliced from 4 exons.
UCUGUAAGCUUGUAUUUCUUCAUAAUGCACAGGGAAUAUUCUGUCUUAAUAAGUCUGUUUGCCAAGCAUCAGUCUAGAAGGAGCUCCUUCAUCCCUUGGCAGAGCACUGAAUGUGAAAAUGAGAUCUUCCAUCCUCACCUGAAGCUGACUUUGGCUUUUUAAUGGGUAAAUAACUACUUUCUGGGGGUAGUGGAGGAAAAACGUAAAGGUUCACACCCUUCUGCAAUUACAGCAGGUGAGAAAUGUGGUGCUUUAUUUUCUUCAUGCCCAUUCUGGCCUUUUGCGGGUUUGCUGUGGUGCUGUUGAAUGUAAAGGCAGCAACCUCUGCUAUCCUUUAUUGGGCAUUCAGGUUAUAAUCCACACUCACUUCCCGGACAGCAGAGGUUUGAGGGGUUUUUUGUCCUUUUCCCAUUCUCCCUGUCUCCAUGUGGUCUUGCAGCGGCUGUCCUCAGCUGGCAGAGCCCGCAGCCUGCAUCACUCCAUUGCAGACUAACCUCAGCCUUUGUGCCAAAAUGCAGGAAGCAGGAGGAAAAACAAGUGUCUGAUAAUUUUGCUGCACUCACGGGCCACAGGUGCAUCAGUGGGACCAAGCUGCCAGGCCCAGGCCCCAAAAUGUGUUUUCUAAAGAUGCCUCAGGCUUCCCCAAGGAAGAGAUGUGGGGUUUCAAAAGCAGUGCCAGAGAAUGAUUUGCCAGAAAAGAGCCUAUAAGGAGAUUAAUGUAGUGUUGACAAAGUCAGCCAAGGUAUUUCCAUUUACCACAACCUGGAAGGAAAGGCCCAGUCUCCUGCAGCACAGGCACAAGGAGCACAUACAGACAUCAGCUGCAGAGUUUGGCAACAGUUGUGAAUAACAACACCAGAUUCUCUCCUGUGUGUCCCUGAAAUACCUGGACAUUUUCUGAAGCAAUCCCCAGUGGGACAGACACGGGCUCCUGGCUGACGUGGGAACGUCUGGCCCAUGUCGUGUGGUGUUUUCUGGGCUGGGCAAGACGCUGCUGAGCCUGGCACCUGCGAGGACCUGCCAGGUCCUGGACCUUGUCUCUGACAGCAGUCACAGGUGGCACAUGGGGGAGGACCCUGACUCUUCCUGGGGUGCUCCUACUCCUGUUGCCCCGGCUGCAGACUCUGGAUUUUUUGUGUCAGCCAUAAGAGCUCGGCAACAAGAGUGUUCACAUCCUUUCAGCAGAGACCGCUCCAGUUUGGAAACAGGUUUGAGAAAACUUCAUUUUCCCCUGAGGCUUGCUUUUCCUUGCAUGCAUCUCAGGUCUAGUUCCAUAGCCUAAGUCUUGUGCAGCUGUUUGAGCAGAAAGGGAAUUCUGGAUGUCCUCAGGGAUGGGCAAAGCUCAGGUGUGAGAGAGCUGAUGGAGCACGGGCAGCAUGGGUGCUGCUGAGGGAGUCAAGGUGUGGAAGGUGAUAGUCCAAAGGACAAUGUGGGGAGCAUCACAGAGGCUAAGGGAACACCAAGAGCUCUUUAGUAAAUAGCCAUGCUCAAGGUAAAAUUAGUAGAUAAUAUAUCAUGUACAUAUCAUAAUCAUAUCAUGUACAUAAUU